AUCAAACUGUCCCUGUCAGGCCAGGUGUCAACAUCAAACUGAUCCUGUCAGGCCAGGUGUUCAACAUCAAACUGAUCCUGUCAGGCCAGGUGUUCAACAUCAAACAUCAAACUGUCCCUGUCAGGCCAGGUGUUCAACAUCAAACAUCAAACUGUCCCUGUCAGGCCAGGUGUUCAACAUCAAACUGAUCCUGUCAGGCCAGGUGUUCAACAUCAAACUGAUCCUGUCAGGCCAGGUCUUCAACAUCAAACAUCAAACUGUCCCUGUCAGGCCAGGUGUUCAACAUCAAACUGAUCCUGUCAGGCCAGGUGUUCAACAUCAAACUGAUCCUGUCAGGCCAGGUGUUCAACAUCAAACAUCAAACUGUUCCUGUCAGGCCAGGUGUUCAACAUCAAAC
Molecule: long non-coding RNA, 397 nt
Organism: Oncorhynchus tshawytscha (Chinook salmon)
Lineage: Eukaryota; Metazoa; Chordata; Actinopteri; Salmoniformes; Salmonidae
Source: Ensembl